AUCCCAGAUAAGCUAAAAUUUGGUUCUUAUCUGAUUCAUGGGAGGCCGAUAACGAUCCGUGGAAGUUUCGCUGAUAACGCCGUUACUUUUUCAUCCUUAUUGCGAGACGGCGUUUACUAGUAGCUUACCCCACAUUC
Molecule: small nucleolar RNA, 137 nt
Filed under: Erythranthe guttata (spotted monkey flower)
Lineage: Eukaryota; Viridiplantae; Streptophyta; Magnoliopsida; Lamiales; Phrymaceae
Source: RNAcentral